AUUGAACGCUGGCGGCGUGCAUAACACAUGCAAGUCGAGCGGUAACAGGUGUAGCAAUUCAUGCUGACGAGCGGCGAACGGGUGAGUAAUGCUUCGGAAUCUGCCCAAUGGUGGGGAAUAACUAGCCGAAAGGUUAGCUAAUACCGCAUACGACCUACGGGUGAAAGCAGGGGAUCGCAAGACCUUGCGCCGAUGGAUGAGCCGAAGUCGGAUUAGCUAGUUGGUAGGGUAACGGCCUACCAAGGCGACAAUCCGUAGCUGGUCUGAGAGGACGACCAGCCACACUGGGACUGAGACACGGCCCAGACUCCUACGGGAGGCAGCAGUGGGGAAUAUUGGACAAUGGGGGCAACCCUGAUCCAGCGACGCCGCGUGUGUGAAGAAGGCCUGCGGGUUGUAAAGCACUUUUAGUGGGGAUGAAAAGCCUAGGGCUAAUACCUCUGGGUCUUGACCUAACCCACAGAAAAAGCACCGGCUAACUCUGUG
RNAcentral lists this ribosomal RNA (486 nucleotides) under uncultured bacterium. RNAcentral describes it as "bacterial SSU rRNA". It matches the Rfam family "Bacterial small subunit ribosomal RNA", at positions 30 to 507 of the family's 1533-position model. The record is from RNAcentral.